RNAcentral lists this ribosomal RNA (496 nucleotides) under uncultured bacterium. Its description in RNAcentral is "partial 16S ribosomal RNA". It matches the Rfam family "Bacterial small subunit ribosomal RNA", at positions 29 to 507 of the family's 1533-position model. The record is from RNAcentral.
AUGAACGCUGGCGGCGUGCCUCAUACAUGCAAGUCGAGCGCACAGACGAGGAGCUUGCUCCUCUGACGUUAGCGGCGGACGGGUGAGUAACACGUGGAUAACCUACCUAUAAGACUGGGAUAACUUCGGGAAACCGGAGCUAAUACCGGAUAAUAUAUUGAACCGCAUGGUUCAAUAGUGAAAGACGGUUUUGCUGUCACUUAUAGAUGGAUCCGCGCCGCAUUAGCUAGUUGGUAAGGUAACGGCUUACCAAGGCAACGAUGCGUAGCCGACCUGAGAGGGUGAUCGGCCACACUGGAGCUGAGACACGGUCCAGACUCCUACGGGAGGCAGCAGUAGGGAAUCUUCCGCAAUGGGCGAAAGCUUGACGGAGCAACGCCGCGUGAGUGAUGAAGGUCUUCGGAUCGUAAAACUCUGUUAUUAGGGAAGAACAAAUGUGUAAGUAACUAUGCACGUCUUGACGGUACCUAAUCAGAAAGCCACGGCUAACUACGUG